Long non-coding RNA from Hypomesus transpacificus, 379 nucleotides. RefSeq lists it as uncharacterized. The transcript is spliced from 3 exons. The record is from RefSeq and is a predicted model, not a curated record. NCBI's taxonomy places the organism in Eukaryota, Metazoa, Chordata, Actinopteri, Osmeriformes, Osmeridae.
CGGAAAUGAAGGAAGACACAAGCAUUCUUGUGCAUGUUCAAGAUAAAGACUGUGUGUCUCUAGAGGUGCGAUAUCACAAGUCCUGUUACAGUACACCAGGUUCUUGACAAAGCCUACUGCAACAGACCGUGGGACCUCAGAAGAACAAAAUGAGCCAGCCUUAAAUGACAGCUACAAGAUCUUCUUUGAGACGGUCAUCCGCCAUAGAAUACUUGUAAACCAAGAGGUGUUGACAAUGACGCAGCUUAGAAGGAUCUUUUUAAAUCUUGUGAAAAGACAUGAAGAUCUUGAUGCUUCAAACUACAGGCAGGAUAAAUUGAAGAGGAGGUUGGCCCGUGAUUUCCCCCAGCUGGUGUUUCACUCCCCCAACAAGCGCAAC